Delphinapterus leucas (beluga whale) is the source of this 3202-nucleotide non-coding RNA. Lineage: Eukaryota; Metazoa; Chordata; Mammalia; Artiodactyla; Monodontidae. The record is from RefSeq and is a predicted model, not a curated record.
UCCUGCACGGAGCUCUGGCCCAGCCUGGCCCAGGAGGAGAAAGGGGGAUGGGUAGUGACUGGGUGGUGGUGGGCUUGGCCUGGUGGGUGGGCAAGGUUUCUACAUCUUUAAGGAAAAGAGGAAUCCGAUUUCAAAUUCGAUAAUACUUCUGACAUUGUCUCUCUUUCCUCGACCGUGUGAGUUCUGGGUAUUCAUUGGUUUGUCACUGUGUUUCACACACCAUUGGCAGAAACACCUUUGUUGGUUUUUGUUAUAAUGGUAACAGGGGUACUCGUAGGGGCUUUUAACUGGCCUCUUCCCACAGUGUGGAAUGCUGUCUAUAAAAAUUACAGAAUUAGUAGUCUGAAGAUAAACGCUUGGAGGUAAACACUUCAUAUCUGCCAGGUUGUGUGCUUGUGUGUGUGUGUGUGUGUGUGUGUGUUUUGAGCCAUCCCUUCCAUCAUUCUCUCCCCCAUUCUCAUCCUGUACCCUAAAGCUAUGAUCUGACUUCACAGCCAAAGAGAUAAAAGUAACAUUCUUCUCCUUGGCCCACCAUACCAGGACACAGCUGGAAAAUCAUUUUCAGAUCACAAGUUUUCAUCCCACAUUUCCAAUCCAAGAGAUAACAGACAGACUCCAUGUAAAAUAGCUUGAAUUAAAGAAUAAACCGUUGUGUGGCUAGACAUGUCCAUGAACUGCAGGCAGAAAUAGAUCAAGCACUAGAAAUUUUUUUUUUUCUUUUAAUCUAGAACAAGCCCCGCACUGCCUCCUGGUGUGGAUUACAUUUUACUUUUCGAAAGGAACCAUGGAUGGUAAAGCGAAAUCAUUUUGAUUCUUUUGGAUUUCUACUGUCGUAGGUGAAAGGUUUUAUUAAUCAAUUCUUUGAAAAACCAGCUAUACCCACUGCAAACCUACCAAAUGAGAGGAUGUUAAGCUGUUCAGUGGGUUGCACGUUUGGGGCCUUGUUUGGAAUUUCAAGCUCAUGUUACGGGGACUGGCCCGUGGUUGCAAUUGUGUGUGUACACCAUUUAUCAGUAGGAUUGCUGAAGUGCUGAGGUGCCGGAAGGCGGAAACACUGGAGGAGACCAGCGCUGGUCUUUGGAUCAACAUUAAUUGCCAAUAAAGAGUUAGGAAAUUGAUCACAGGGAAGGGAAGCAUGUUAAUGGCCACCAGCUCAAAGGUUCAGCCCCUUUCAGUUACUGAUAACCUUGCCACGUCUCCAGAUAAAAGCCAGCCUUGUCACCCCCAGGCACCUGGCUGAGAGGUAAUAAAACUGUUGCCUUAUCUUCUAAGAGUGGAGUUGGUCCAACCUCAGUCCGAGGUAAUUACAGUAAACUGAAAUUGCCUGUCAUUUACAAAAAAGGGAAGGCGUAAGGCGGGAGAUGGUGUUUGUCUCUCUCCUUGGAUUUUAAAAAGAAAGCGAGCAAAACAGCCAGAAGUUUUCCAGGGAGUGAGAAAAACAGCCCGGCUUGGCCACGCUCUCCUGGGGGUAACGGAUUGCAGGCGGCUCAGGUCCCCGGGACGAUCUGAAAAAGAGGCUCAAGCUGAUGAAAAUCCAAGCAAUCUUCUUAGUCUGUCCUUUCUAAAUGUAAAUGAGAGUCGGAGCCCUGCUAGGGAGGGCAGGAAGUCUCAGUCUUACCCAGUGACUCAUUCAGUGCUGUUAGCUCCAGAAGCUGGAUAAAAAGUUUUAGCAAAAGCAGCAACAAAUCUACUUUAAAUACUAGCACAGUAAGGAAAUUCCUCUCUUUCAGGCCGAAUGCCAUCCACACAAUAGAGCUCCUGUCGACAUCUCAUUUACAAUCUACCCCCAGGACACAGACAGGACCAUUUCCAUAAACCCGGCUCAGAAACACCUAUUGUUCAAAAUCUUCAACUAGCCACAGGCUACCACCACUCCCUAUUGUUUUGUAAAAUAAAAGAUUUAGAAGGAGCCAGAUUGGGACCUGGAAGCUCUGAAAAGAGGAAGGAAAAAAGUCCCUUUGACCCGGUGCUGUUGGAGAACGUGCGUGAAGAAUAAAGUUAAUGGAUUUUCGUUUUUACAAGAAGUGCAUAAGCAAUGCCCGCUCCCUUCCUGAACUCGUGAUCGGGGAUUCUAAAAGCGGUGCCAACUUUGUAAAGAAGUUAACUCCUGCCAACGAGUUUGGUACCUGAAAAGUCAAAGGCUCUACUUACCCUAUUCUCUGUCUUACAAAAACCCUGAUGGCAGCCACAGCAAAGCACCAGCAGCCAGUAAGCCGGGUGUACCCCUGCUCCUAUGCAAAAGGCCUGUGAAACUCUGAAGCUAUACUUGUACACAGAUGUGAUCCGGUGAUGCCAUCUCAUCUCCAUGGCAACCAGGUGUCUCAGUUAUCUACUCUGGUGCCAGGGCAUCGGAGACCUGCCACCACCAUGCUGUUGCCUGGUCACUCAGUUCCAAAUUUAUGAGAUUGCCUCAGUCCCUUAGGUAUUUGUUCUCUGAAAGAGUUGGAGACCCAGGUAAAGUUCGGAGCGGCUUGUAACCUGCCUGCAGCCAACGGCAUAUUCCAAAGGUGGCUAAAACAAUAUUGUCCAUCCAACAUGGUCUUCUUGAACAGGGGUCAGGAAAAUCUAUAAAGAGCUGUACAGGAAAUAUUUUUGGUUUUGCAGACCAUGCAGUCUCUGUCCCAAACAACUCAACUUUGACAUUGUGGCAAAGCCAGAGACAAUAUGUAAAUGCACGGACAUGGCUGCCUUGGAGAGUCCCUGGGACAUCUGCCUGCUUGGAGCCCUGAGCCACCACAGAAGCAUCCAAUUUCCCUGAGGCCGCCAUGCUGUAAGGAAGCCCAAGUCAGCCUCGUGGAAAGACCACAUGAAGAAGCCUGGAGACUCUUAGGAAGAGGGAGAGGUGUUCAGCAGCCCCCAGUGAUCCAACCCUCCACCCACCCAACUGCAAGCUCGGAAGAGACCCUGAGCCAGAACUACCCAGCCAAAGCUCUUCCCAAAUUCCUGCCCCAUAGGAACAGAAAUAAUAACACGAUUGCUGUCGUUUUAAGGCACUAAACAAAGAACUUAGAACACUGUCCCAAAACUAGUGAGUGGCAGAUACGGGAUUCAAACCUAGGCCGGCUUGACAUUCUAUUGCAUGAUCAUUACUCAUUCUAUUAAAUGAUUGCUUACAGCAGCCUUUUUAAAAAACGGUGCUAAAAUAUAUGUAACGUAAAACUUACCAUGUUAACCAUCUUUAAGUGUACAGUUCAAUAAGUAC